GGCUUUGUGAUGUUUCUAGUCCAAUUCUAACGAAAAGAUGCACUUGGCAGCUACAGUUUUAAAGCUUUUUUUUUUAUUGACACGUAAUGGACAUAUAGAACAUUAGCUUUCGACAUUUGUAUAUCCUGCAAAACGAUGAGCGCAACAAGUCUACUAGAUACCCGCCACCAUAGUUGCUAAAAGUUUUUAUUGUGAUGAGAACCUUUAAGAUGUGCUCUUUAGCAACUUCCAAUAUGUAACACAAUGUUGUUGGCCAUAGUCGCCAUGCUGUGCAUCCUGUUCCGCGACUUCCUACAACUGGAAAUUUGCACCUUUUGACCUCUUUCAUCCUCUCGCGUUCUUGGCUGCAGGGUUCUUGUCUCAAGGAGUCGAAGAGUGAAUCUCAUGGACACAAAAGGGUGAAGGGAAGUGAAAGUUUAUUAAGUUAAGUGAUGUGUGAAUUUGAACUGUUUUCAUGUACGAUUUGGAUAUUCACUGUGUUCGGUGAAGAUAGCUCAUAAAGAAGUGUCCAGGCACGUUCAGUGAAUCCCUGCUGUGUGCUGUGAAAACUAAUAAAAGGAAACAUCGCCUACAAUAGAGUCAGGAGGCCAGCAGGAGGAGCUCGCAUUCCCAGCACUGGUUAUCAACUGCAGAUCCAACAGGAACAGAGGGACCUUGCACGCGGAUAUUAUUUUAUCCACCCAGUGCAAGAAGAAAGGUUUCCUCCCCGCCAGGAGACAGCCCAGCCAACCAAAGACAGUCACAGCUCAGCCCGUGAGAAGCACUUCCAGCUCCCAAUUUCCUUCAAUGGACGUUUUGUUUAUAACAGCUCCCAGGGAUGCCUGGGUGGCUCAGCGGUUGAGCGUCUACCUUCAGCUCAGGGCCCCAUCCCAGAGUCCUGGGAUCAGGUCCCGCAUCAGGCUCCCUGCGAGGAACCUUUUCCCUCUGUCUGUGCCUCUGUGUCUCUCAUGAAUAAAUAAAUAAAAUCUUAAAAAAUAAUAAAUAACAGCCCCCCAAUUCCCUCUUUCCUCUAUAGAAAAGAAUCUCUCUCCUUUGUUCUAGGGACUUGCCUAUGGUAUUGCUGGAGCUUGCUUGUCCUUGAAUUCUCUGUUAUUCCAGAAUAAACCCAU
This is a long non-coding RNA of Canis lupus familiaris (dog), 1109 nucleotides long. RefSeq lists it as uncharacterized. The record is from RefSeq and is a predicted model, not a curated record. The transcript has 3 exons. Lineage: Eukaryota; Metazoa; Chordata; Mammalia; Carnivora; Canidae.